CCUACGGGGUGCUGCAGUGGGGAAUAUUGGACAAUGGGCGAAAGCCUGAUCCAGCCAUGCCGCGUGUGUGAAGAAGGCCUUCGGGUUGUAAAGCACUUUCAGUGGGGAAGAAAGCCUUGGGGCUAAUACCCUCGAGGAAGGACAUCACCCACAGAAGAAGCACCGGCUAACUCCGUGCCAGCAGCCGCGGUAAUACGGAGGGUGCGAGCGUUAAUCGGAAUUACUGGGCGUAGAGCGCGCGUAGGCGGUCUGAUAAGCCGGUUGUGAAAGCCCCGGGCUCAACCUGGGAACGGCAUCCGGAACUGUCAGGCUAGAGUGCAGGAGAGGAAGGUAGAAUUCCCGGUGUAGCGGUGAAAUGCGUAGAGAUCGGGAGGAAUACCAGUGGCGAAGGCGGCCUUCUGGACUGACACUGACGCUGAGGUGCGAAAGCGUGGGUGGCAAACAGGAUUAGAUACCCGAGUAGUC
Molecule: ribosomal RNA, 465 nt
Filed under: Vreelandella stevensii
Lineage: Bacteria; Pseudomonadati; Pseudomonadota; Gammaproteobacteria; Oceanospirillales; Halomonadaceae
Description: partial 16S ribosomal RNA
Rfam family: Bacterial small subunit ribosomal RNA
Source: RNAcentral